Non-coding RNA from Corylus avellana, 1152 nucleotides. The record is from RefSeq and is a predicted model, not a curated record. NCBI's taxonomy places the organism in Eukaryota, Viridiplantae, Streptophyta, Magnoliopsida, Fagales, Betulaceae.
GUUUGAGAGAUGCUUUGAUAGUUUCACCAGUUCACCUAUUCUAGAAUUUAGCAAAAUUCUUUUGUUCUCAAAAUUGAGUUUAUCAGGUUAUUUCUAUUGCCAUUGCCCACUUUUUAGGAGGAGACAUUCAUUCCUUUAUUUUUUUUAAUAAACUAUUUUUUGAGGGAUAUCAAAUGGAGAAUCAAACCAUAAAGUUUUAUAAACUCUCAGUAGUUUCCCAAGUUUCCAUUGUCUUUUUUCCUCUCCUAAUGUUUGUACCCUUUAGACUUUCUCUCUUUUCUGAAAUUGUAAAAAAUUUGUUGAUGGAUUUGUUUGUAUAGUGCAGGCUGCAUACAACAUUGGUGGCCAUAUCAUAAGUGCAAAUGCUAUAGAACAUUCAAUAUUUUGCUUCCGAACUCCCCGAAUUGGACGGUGGCUAGAAAACAUCCUUUCCACUGCCUUGAGAAAAAAAUCCGGUGAAGAAAGACAACUCAGUUCAAAAUUGGGUCUUCCAAGUUCCCAACCCCUUGUCUGCUUUGCCCUUUGUACUGGAGCUUUUUCUGAUCCUGUGCUAAAAUUCUACACAGCAUCAAAUGUUAGAGAGGAAUUGGAAGCCGCGAAAAGAGAGUUUCUUCAAGCAAAUGUAGUGGUGAAGAAGUCUAGGAAAGUGUCUCUACCAAAGGUGCUGGAGAGAUAUGCUAGGGAAGCAUCUGUAAGCUCGGAUCAUCUUUUAACAUGGGUCUCUGAAAAUGUUGAUAAGAAGCUACAUGAUUCUAUACAUAAAUGCAUUGACCAGAAAUCCGGCAAGAGGGCAUCUCAGAUCAUAGAGUGGCUGCCUUACAGUUCAAGGUUCUGCUACUUGUUCUCAAAGGAUUUAACAGAGAAGCCAUGGUGGUUGUGAGGGUCUUCCCAAAUUUAUGCACUUUCUUCCGGACCACUGUAAUCUAACCUAAUAUCAGAUAAUUUUCUAAUGGCUUGAAUUUCGUAAUUUGAAAAUCUAUAAUUUCUCUAAAAUUGUAGAGAUUCUGAUCUGCUGAUUUUCUAGUCUGAUGAGCUUAACAUUGUAAUUGCAUGUAAUAUAUAGCACCAACUUUAGCUGUUGCGUGAGUAAGUUUGACUUCUUAAUGUAAGAACACUUUAAUGUAAUAUUAUUGAAGUAUUCAUUAUGAUUUA